This 56-nucleotide transfer RNA is filed under the name Strongyloides fuelleborni fuelleborni. RNAcentral describes it as "tRNA-Asn". The record is from RNAcentral. Lineage: Eukaryota; Metazoa; Nematoda; Chromadorea; Rhabditida; Strongyloididae.
UGGGAAUUAGUAUAAAUGAGUAUAGUUGACUGUUAAUCAAGUGGUUAUAUUCCCAG